This 595-nucleotide long non-coding RNA is filed under the name Physcomitrium patens. Its description in RNAcentral is "long non-coding RNA (PPAT_LNC007707)". Lineage: Eukaryota; Viridiplantae; Streptophyta; Bryopsida; Funariales; Funariaceae. The record is from RNAcentral.
CUCGUAGCAUCAAGGAACAAUUGAAUUCCAGCACCGUGUUGCAGCACUGUAAUGCUAUUAGUAGCAAAAAGAGGGAGUAUAGUAAUUCUCUUGCCACACAACGGGGAACUGAAACAAAAUGAAGAGCCACCACAACUUCAGCCACCUCUCCUCUCUGACCAGAUCGGCACACUGUCACCAUAAUCCACGUGGCCUCACUACAGCAAUUGCAUGCACCUACCAUUUUGAACAACCAUAGACUCUACCUAAUGCAGAGUUCUCUAACUGUACACAAUGCCAACCUCUGACAGCUCAUUCCCCGUUGAUCUUCAGUGGCUGGAACAAAAUCGAUAUCAACUCAAUCCACUAAAAGAAAAAAACAACACAGAAAUUGACCACUAUGGCUGCAUUGAUGAGCUCCGCAAUGCACCUUCAGCCGCCAUGCUGUUGUAGUGGAAACACAAAACGGCUCCAGCUGCCCCGCUUGGGCAUGCCGAAUCGACAACAGAACACAGACAAAAGUCAAACCGGAGGAAAAAACAGGGAAAAUAAGAGGGUGAAGAAGUGCUUCACCAUAGCACUCCAACAGAGCACAAAACAUAAAAGGAAGAGGAAA